This 776-nucleotide long non-coding RNA is filed under the name Arachis ipaensis. RNAcentral's name for it is "long non-coding RNA (AIPA_LNC000865)". The record is from RNAcentral. Lineage: Eukaryota; Viridiplantae; Streptophyta; Magnoliopsida; Fabales; Fabaceae.
UAUAUUAAGUAACAAAUGCAAUGAAAACAUAUAUAAGAAGGUGAAGACAAAGUAAAAGAGGAGGUGGAACAGAACAGUUUUUUACACUUGCUUAUUUUCUUUGAUAUUUCUGUGACAAUUAUUAUACAAAUUAGAUUGAUACAAUUUCCUUUUGGAGCAUCAACCAGGUCACCAGAAAUCAAGCAUGAAAAUUAAAGGGUUUCUAAACUAAUUAAGCCUCAUGAAAUUACAUAAACACCCCGUCAUCAUUAACAUGUUUUAGAAGCUGUGAGAAUCCUCACUAUGAUGUUGAUCCUACACCUGCUACAUAAUCCAAGAGUCCCUCACCAGCUUUCUCACCAUGAAGAUCAUGAUGGUGAGAUAAUUCAUCAGUUGAGAACUUUGAAACCCCUCCAAAGGCUAUUAUUGCAACCAAGAAGACUGUUGUGGAAGCAAACAAUGGCCAGAAAUAUGCCAAUAUUGUAACAAAUCUUGGUGCUGCAUACAACAUCAAAGACAAUAAAACUGAAAUUGCUAUCACUGUGCUUAUAUGGUAUCUAUACCUUAGAAGCCUUUCUGAUACAUCCAUGGAUUAGUAUUACAACAAGCACCUUGAUUAACUCUAGAGAAAUAAGAGAGAAGAAUAAUAAGGGAAAAAGGGAGAAUAAAUAAAGAUGUGUAUAGUGUAACAACAUUGGAGUUGGCAAAGUAUUAUAUAUGUGUGAAGAGAUUCUUUAUGCUCUCAAUGAUGUUUCAAAUGUUACUUGCCCCAUAUGCCAAUUAUUUUUAACAUACUG